Nicotiana tabacum (common tobacco) is the source of this 597-nucleotide non-coding RNA. The record is from RefSeq and is a predicted model, not a curated record. NCBI's taxonomy places the organism in Eukaryota, Viridiplantae, Streptophyta, Magnoliopsida, Solanales, Solanaceae.
UAUCUACAGACUACAAUAUGCUAGAGCAAUAAAGCUGAAUGUGCAGUCACUUCUCUCCUCAUAGUUGUACUUGGAAUAAGUAACUUGGCUUUGGCUUGACAUGCAUUUGUUGUCUAUAGACAAUUCUAUUAGUCAUGAGGAGUACAUGCAAGUGAGUUCGAGAAUUGAGUAAUAAAUUAGAUUUAGCACUUGUUUCUGUGGUAUGAAGGGGAGCCUUGGAGCAACAGUAAAGUUGUCUCGUUGUGACCUAUAGGUCACGGGCUUGCGCCGUGGAAUCAACAACUGAUGCUUGCAUCAGGAUAGGCUGUCUACAUCACACCCCUUGGAGUGCGGCCCUUCCCCGGACCCUGCGUGAAUGCAGGAUGCUUCGUGCACCGGGCUGCCUUACUUGUUUAUGUGGUAUGCUUUUUGUCUUCAAUAUGCUCAAUCCGUUGCUAGAAGAAAGAAAAUGAUGUUACUUCGUUAGAUUUUACAUAGUCAGUAAAAUAUAUGAAUAUUCAGACUAUUAAGGCGGAAGCAAAAAUCAAUCAUUGGGUGUAUCCAGUUUAUUUUAAGGGGUCGUUUGGUAGGUUGCAUUAGAUAAAAUAAUGCAUGCAU